AUUUAAUUUUUACCUUUUUUAUGGAAAACUUUUUAAGUUUUUUAGGUGUUUUUUGAUUCUGGGUAUUUUUAGGUUGUUUUUGGAAUUUGAUUUGGUUUGCCGUGUGAAUUCUGGGUGAUUUAGUGUAUUGAUGUUAAUUGGGUUGAUAGUUUGCAUGCUGUUGAUCUGAUCUGAUUGUAUGGAAGUUGUUGGAUGUGUGAUCUUACUUGAUUGUGCUUGUUUGAUUAAUUUUAUUGUGGAGAAUAAGUAUCGGAUGAUGGAGUGUGAUUAGGUGGAAUUGAGUUAGUAAAUUAUGAAGCUUUGAAAGUGCAAGAAAGGGUCAUUUAAUUUGACAAAUUGAUUAGACGAAGAUAUAUUUUGUUGUCUUGUUUAAUUUGCGUUUUACAUUGACAUGUUUUAGGGUACCAUAUAUGCCACAACAUCUAAAAUUGUAGUGCAAGUGUUGAAUGUGCCACUGCUAUUGUAAAAGGGUUCCUCUUGUGGUUGGAUGUACAAAAUUGGCAGCCCCGGUCCGAGCAAUACGGAGGCCCUAUGCCGAAGUUGAAAAUUAGCACGCACAAUUAUCUCAAAAAUAAUAAUAAUAUAAUUAGAUUAUAAUUGUUUCUUACAAAAUGGUAGUAAUACAAUCUUCAAUUUUUUUAAAAAUCAUUCUCAAUAGUUAACUAGUAGAACUGUAGUUGAAAGAGAAAAAAGAAUCUACUUCCUCUGUUUCAAUUUAGUUGUGAUACUUUUAAAAUCACGGACUUCUAGGUAAGUUUUGGAGAGGGGAGAGAUAGAGAAAGAAAACAAAAUGGUUCCAUGUGAUAGGAGAGAGAUAGAGA
Long non-coding RNA from Beta vulgaris subsp. vulgaris (sugar beet), 821 nucleotides. RefSeq lists it as uncharacterized. The transcript is spliced from 2 exons. The record is from RefSeq and is a predicted model, not a curated record. NCBI's taxonomy places the organism in Eukaryota, Viridiplantae, Streptophyta, Magnoliopsida, Caryophyllales, Amaranthaceae.